This is a long non-coding RNA of Pocillopora damicornis (cauliflower coral), 327 nucleotides long. RefSeq lists it as uncharacterized. The record is from RefSeq and is a predicted model, not a curated record. NCBI's taxonomy places the organism in Eukaryota, Metazoa, Cnidaria, Anthozoa, Scleractinia, Pocilloporidae.
CCGAUCAAGGCGCAGUGUAAUUAAAACCAACAGCUACGAAAAAACAUGAAGUCUGAGUAUCUCGUUCUUCUUCUGUUAUUUCUUAGUUUCACUGGAUGGAACGAUGCGGCGUCCAACGCUAAGCCUGGAAUUUAUAAGAGACAAUUCAGAAUGUGCUUCGUUUGCUGUUACAUCUCAAAGAGCUGUAGGAAGCAAAUCCGUCGACAAUGUUCCUGCUGGAAAAGGAAAUGAUACCAACCAUUCCUGAUAAGCCAGCGAAAGUUCCCGAAAGGUCAUCGUAUCACAUUGAGGCCAAAACGAGAAAUAAAAGAGCUUGAAACUAACGCA